RNAcentral lists this transfer RNA (69 nucleotides) under Urocitellus parryii (Arctic ground squirrel). RNAcentral's name for it is "Spermophilus parryii (Arctic ground squirrel) tRNA". It matches the Rfam family "tRNA". Rfam says of the family: Transfer RNA (tRNA) molecules are approximately 80 nucleotides in length. Lineage: Eukaryota; Metazoa; Chordata; Mammalia; Rodentia; Sciuridae. RNAcentral also lists the same sequence under 1 other name. The record is from Rfam by way of RNAcentral.
GGGGUUGUAGCUCAGUGGGAGAGCACUUACCUAGCAUGUGUGAGGCAUUGGUUUCAAUCCUCAGCACCA